UGAAUCAAUAGCUCAGUCUCC
RNAcentral lists this non-coding RNA (21 nucleotides) under Rattus norvegicus (Norway rat). Lineage: Eukaryota; Metazoa; Chordata; Mammalia; Rodentia; Muridae. The record is from RNAcentral.